Molecule: long non-coding RNA, 167 nt
Organism: Brassica oleracea var. oleracea
Lineage: Eukaryota; Viridiplantae; Streptophyta; Magnoliopsida; Brassicales; Brassicaceae
Exons: 2
Source: RefSeq, a predicted model, not a curated record
UACAAUUUCAGUGCUAAACAUCUAACGUUCACUGUCUCACGCAUCAUGGAAGAGGGGAACGUCUUCCCCUCCCUGACUUUGUUACUGAUGAGGAGGGCAACAAUGGUCCUGGAGAUGAUAUGCCUGGGAUGACCUCAUUGUCUACCGAGGUGUGCGUUGGUGGUGAU